Molecule: ribosomal RNA, 663 nt
Filed under: uncultured cyanobacterium
Lineage: Bacteria; Bacillati; Cyanobacteriota
Description: bacterial SSU rRNA
Rfam family: Bacterial small subunit ribosomal RNA
Source: RNAcentral
CGGACGGGUGAGUAACGCGUGAGAAUCUGCCCUCAGGAGGGGGAUAACGGCUGGAAACGGCCGCUAAUACCCCAUAUGCCGAGAGGUGAAAUGAAUUUCGCCUGAGGAUGAGCUCGCGUCUGAUUAGCUAGUUGGUGAGGUAAGAGCCCACCAAGGCGACGAUCAGUAGCUGGUCUGAGAGGAUGAUCAGCCACACUGGGACUGAGACACGGCCCAGACUCCUACGGGAGGCAGCAGUGGGGAAUUUUCCGCAAUGGGCGAAAGCCUGACGGAGCAAGACCGCGUGGGGGAGGAAGGUUCUUGGAUUGUCAACCCCUUUUCUCAGGGAAGAACACAAUGACGGUACCUGAGGAAAAAGCAUCGGCUAACUCCGUGCCAGCAGCCGCGGUAAUACGGGGGAUGCAAGCGUUAUCCGGAAUGAUUGGGCGUAAAGAGUCCGUAGGUAGUCAUCCAAGUCUGCUGUUAAAGAGCGAGGCUUAACCUCGUAAAGGCAGUGGAAACUGGAAGACUAGAGUGUAGUAGGGGCAGAGGGAAUUCCUGGUGUAGCGGUGAAAUGCGUAGAGAUCAGGAAGAACACCGGUGGCGAAGGCGCUCUGCUGGGCUAUAACUGACACUGAGGGACGAAAGCUAGGGGAGCGAAUGGGAUUAGAUACCCCAGUAGUC